CCUACGGGUGGCAGCAGUAGGGAAUAUUGCUCAAUGGGGGAAACCCUGAAGCAGCAACGCCGCGGGGAGGAUGAAGGUUUUGGGAGUGUAAACUCCUUGUGUUAGAGAAGAGAAUGACGGUAGCUAACGAAUAAGCACCGGCUAACUCCGUGCCAGCAGCCGCGGUAAUACGGAGGGUGCAAGCGUUACUCGGAAUCACUGGGCGACAAGAGCGCGUAGGCGGGAUAGCAAGUCAGAUGUGAAAUCCUAGGGCUUAACCAUAGAACUGCAUUUGAAACUGUUAUUCUAGAGUAUGGGAGAGGUAGGUGGAAUUCUUGGUGUAGGCGUCACAUCCGUAGCGCUCC
RNAcentral lists this ribosomal RNA (344 nucleotides) under uncultured bacterium. RNAcentral's name for it is "partial 16S ribosomal RNA". It matches the Rfam family "Bacterial small subunit ribosomal RNA", at positions 338 to 699 of the family's 1533-position model. The record is from RNAcentral.